RNAcentral lists this ribosomal RNA (253 nucleotides) under uncultured bacterium. RNAcentral describes it as "partial 16S ribosomal RNA". It matches the Rfam family "Bacterial small subunit ribosomal RNA", at positions 524 to 776 of the family's 1533-position model. The record is from RNAcentral.
UACGUAGGCAGCAAGCGUUGUUCGGAAUUACUGGGCGUAAAGGGUGCGUAGGCGGCUUUUUAAGUUUGGUGUGAAAUCUCCCGGCUCAACUGGGAGGGUGCGCCGAAUACUGAGAAGCUAGAGUGUGGGAGAGGAAAGUGGAAUUCCUGGUGUAGCGGUGAAAUGCGUAGAUAUCAGGAGGAACACCGGUGGUGUAAACGGCUUUCUGGACCAUAACUGACGCUGAGGCACGAAAGCGUGGGGAGCGAACAGG